GCUUUGGUUUCCAGGACCAGGGCUGCUCAGUGCUGAGUCCUUUCAGGACCUAAUAUCCAAAUUUUGUAAUUUCUUGGUUGUUUUCUCUCCCCUUCAAGGUCUCGGUCAUUCAUCGCCAGAGGAGGACGGUCCAGUCUUCUGUGCCAGAAGAUGCUCUGAAAAAGGCCCAGAGUCUCUUUGUUCAAGAGUGCAUUAAAAGCUACAGCUCAGACUGGAACGUCGUGAACUACAAAUAUGAGGACUACUCGGGGGAUUUCCGCAUGUUGCCUUGCAAAUCCUUUCGGCCGGACAAGAUCCCAAGCCACGUGUUUGAAAUUGACGAAGACUUUGAAAAAGACGAGGUGAGGAGGAGGAGAUUUUUGCCUAUUGCAACACACUCAGUUGUGACAUCUCUGCUUGGGCACACGCACCAAGUGUGCCCAUGUGUCGCACCUUGCCUCCCACUUUCUUUCCACACAUUUGUCCUG
Long non-coding RNA from Sceloporus undulatus (fence lizard), 467 nucleotides. RefSeq lists it as uncharacterized. NCBI's taxonomy places the organism in Eukaryota, Metazoa, Chordata, Lepidosauria, Squamata, Phrynosomatidae. The record is from RefSeq and is a predicted model, not a curated record. The transcript is spliced from 3 exons.